Molecule: long non-coding RNA, 463 nt
Filed under: Eucalyptus grandis
Lineage: Eukaryota; Viridiplantae; Streptophyta; Magnoliopsida; Myrtales; Myrtaceae
Description: long non-coding RNA (EGRA_LNC007809)
Source: RNAcentral
CAAGAACAAGAAACGAUAUAGAAUUUGCGAAUAACGGAUGAACCCGAAAUCGCCCAGACAGCGAAAUGCCUUGCCGCGGGUGAAGCAGCGGACGGGAACAAUCACAAGAACCAAGAAACGGACUCCAAAAUAGAGGGUCGAGAACACUAAUAUCGUAAAUUCAUCCCACUUUUUCUCUGCGGACACGGGCAACAGGCGGCACCACAAGAACAAGAAACGAAACAGAUUUCGCGAACGAGGAAGGCACGCGAUACCGCACGGGCGGCGGCCAUACCUUGCCGCAGGUGAAGCAGCGGACGGGGAUGAUCAUCUUCGCCGGCGAUGCCCUUUGCCCGUCUCUCUCCCUCCCUGGGCUCGGCUUGCGACCGGGUGCAAUUCGAGAGCCGAAAGCGGUGCUUCUGCUGCUGCGUGCUUGUCAGGCCCUCUCUCUGACGCCGUUUAAAAACAUCCGAAAAAAAAAACG